This 419-nucleotide ribosomal RNA is filed under the name bacterium. RNAcentral's name for it is "partial 16S ribosomal RNA". It matches the Rfam family "Bacterial small subunit ribosomal RNA", at positions 355 to 776 of the family's 1533-position model. The record is from RNAcentral.
UGGGGGAUAUUGCACAAUGGGCGAAAGCCUGAUGCAGCGACGCCGCGUGGGGGAUGAAGGCCUUCGGGUUGUAAACUUCUUUUGCUCUGAACAAGGCGCACCAUGGGGUGUGUUGAGUGUAGGGGUUGAUUAGCGCCGGCUAACUACGUGCCAGCAGCCGCGGUAAUACGUAGGGCGCGAGCGUUGUCCGGAAUUAUUGGGCGUAAAGGGCUUGUAGGUGGCUGGUUGCGUCUGUCGUGAAAGCUCAUGGCUUAACUGUGGGUUUGCGGUGGGGAAGGGCUGGCUUGAGUGCAGUAGGGGAGGCUGGAAUUCCUGGUGUAGCGGUGGAAUGCGCAGAUAUCAGGAGGACUACCGGUGGCGAGGGCGGGUCUCUGGGCUGUUACUGACACUGAGGAGCGAAAGCAUGGGGAGCGAACAGG